Molecule: long non-coding RNA, 1157 nt
Organism: Armigeres subalbatus
Lineage: Eukaryota; Metazoa; Arthropoda; Insecta; Diptera; Culicidae
Exons: 4
Source: RefSeq, a predicted model, not a curated record
GUUAAGUUUAUUUUGAUGUUGCUCUAUUAAAGUUAAAACCACAAGCAAACAAUUCGCAAAGGCACAAACAACAUUUGGCGUAAAAAACUGUUCACGAAAUUAAGAUUGCCCUGUACACCAACCGCCACUUCGAAAAUAAAUCCAUCCCUGCGGAAAACGAAAGGCCCAUUCGCAAGGCGUCGCGGCAGCCUGACAAGAGUACCUAGGCCACAUCAGCAAAAAUUGAACGGCACUUUUUCGCUUCGUCUUCGCGAGUGGUAGCAUCGCCGCCAUCAUCAGGCGACAUCAACUAAAAGUGAAAAACUUUAGGCCACGAGGCGGAAUCACUUUGUGGCAGAGUAAUUGCCUUCGAGUUAGUGUGCUUUCGUCCGGAACGGUUACCUUUGCCAGCCAGAAGGUGUUCUCGAGGCGACGGCACUAAAUUCCGGAGUUCCUUCUGAGGAGAACGACUAAAGACUCCGAUGCAUGAAGUCUCCACUCGCCAGGAGUGUCAGAAGCCGUCUUAUAGAAGGUCAUGCAUCGAGAGCGGAUCACGUGGAAACGCAGAAACACUACAAUCGUCGGAACCCAGACACGAAACGGUUUAAGUAGUUGGUCAGCAACCAGAUAGACCGAAAAUACCCCAUCUAACGGGGUGUUUUUUGAAGGACUAACGUUUGGCUUGGCUGCGAUUUGGUCAGACUGUUAGCUUGCGUGACCGCUACUCCACCGGAUUACAGUUUCGUCGGAAAGGUUGUGCAUAUCUACCGGACGGGUAGAAGGAUAGGAUCACUUGACAGUCGCCGUCGGGUUGCGGAUCGGUUUUGUCGGGUCAGAAGCAGGACGAGAACGCUAAUGGUGCAAAAAUCUCGACGAGGGAAUCAGACGCCUCGGAGAGAUCCCAUCCAGCAACGCGGUCGCACUGGACGGCCAGAGGGGUCUCCAGCGGAGGACGUUCGUCGGACGAGUGGCGCGAUGGCACUGUGUGCGAGGCGGGCAAUCCCGGCGGCAUGUGAGCCGUCAGAAAGUUGGUAGGCCAGGGUGCACCCAAGAAGAAAAUUCGUGAGUACGCAUGAGGUUAGCUUGUAAGCAGAAGAUUUAGAGAACAUUAGGGAACAUUAGAUGACAGGAGCAAUAGAAGAAACAUCAAUGAGCUUCGAAUAUAUGUAUUGAUUGAG